UAUAUACUAAUAGUGUCUAUUGUUUGUUGGACUAUACCUGUUGUUCCAGUUAUGAUCUUAUUGGCAGUUGAUAAUGGCUACUACAUUACAAUUA
This is a long non-coding RNA of Amphimedon queenslandica, 94 nucleotides long. RefSeq lists it as uncharacterized. The record is from RefSeq and is a predicted model, not a curated record. Lineage: Eukaryota; Metazoa; Porifera; Demospongiae; Haplosclerida; Niphatidae. The transcript is spliced from 2 exons.